GGGGCCGUAGUUCCAAUUGGUUAGAACGCCAGUUUGUCACACUGGAGGUUGUGGGUUCAAAUCCCAUCGGUCCCG
This 75-nucleotide transfer RNA is filed under the name Clostridia bacterium. Its description in RNAcentral is "tRNA-Asp". It matches the Rfam family "tRNA". Rfam says of the family: Transfer RNA (tRNA) molecules are approximately 80 nucleotides in length. Their secondary structure includes four short double-helical elements and three loops (D, anti-codon, and T loops). Further hydrogen bonds mediate the characteristic L-shaped molecular structure. tRNAs have two regions of fundamental functional importance: the anti-codon, which is responsible for specific mRNA codon recognition, and the 3' end, to which the tRNAs corresponding amino acid is attached (by aminoacyl-tRNA synthetases). tRNAs cope with the degeneracy of the genetic code in two manners: having more than one tRNA (with a specific anti-codon) for a particular amino acid; and 'wobble' base-pairing, i.e. permitting non-standard base-pairing at the 3rd anti-codon position. The record is from RNAcentral. Lineage: Bacteria; Bacillati; Bacillota; Clostridia.